GACGAACGCUGGCGGCGUGCUUAACACAUGCAAGUCGAACGGAAAGGCCCUGCUUUUGUGGGGUGCUCGAGUGGCGAACGGGUGAGUAACACGUGAGUAACCUGCCCUUGACUUUGGGAUAACUUCAGGAAACUGGGGCUAAUACCGGAUAGGAGCCCCUGCUGCAUGGUGGGGGUUGGAAAGUUUCGGCGGUUGGGGAUGGACUCGCGGCUUAUCAGCUUGUUGGUGGGGUAGUGGCUUACCAAGGCUUUGACGGGUAGCCGGCCUGAGAGGGUGACCGGCCACCUUGGGACUGAGAUACGGCCCAGACUCCUACGGGAGGCAGCAGUGGGGAAUAUUGCACAAUGGGCGGAAGCCUGAUGCAGCAACGCCGCGUGCGGGAUGACGGCCUUCGGGUUGUAAACCGCUUUCGCCUGUGACGAAGCGUGAGUGACGGUAAUGGGUAAAGAAGCACCGGCUAACUACGUG
This 468-nucleotide ribosomal RNA is filed under the name uncultured bacterium. RNAcentral describes it as "partial 16S ribosomal RNA". It matches the Rfam family "Bacterial small subunit ribosomal RNA", at positions 28 to 507 of the family's 1533-position model. The record is from RNAcentral.